UACAGAGGGUGCAAGCGUUGUUCGGAAUUAUUGGGCGUAAAGGGCGCGUAGGCGGUGCGGUAAGUCUGUAGUGAAAUCUCUGGGCUCAACUCAGAGUCUGCUAUAGAAACUGCCGUGCUUGAGUGUGGGAGAGGUGAGUGGAAUUCCCGGUGUAGCGGUGAAAUGCGCAGAUAUCAGGAGGAACACCGGUGGCGAAGGCGGGUCUCUGGGCCGAUACUGACGCUGAGGAGCGAAAGCGUGGGGGAGCGAACAGG
This 254-nucleotide ribosomal RNA is filed under the name uncultured bacterium. RNAcentral's name for it is "partial 16S ribosomal RNA". It matches the Rfam family "Bacterial small subunit ribosomal RNA", at positions 524 to 776 of the family's 1533-position model. The record is from RNAcentral.